UUUAAUAGCUUAUUUAGAGUAUAAUAUUGAAGAUAUUAAGGAAGUAUAUUUAUUUUAAAAUAU
This 63-nucleotide transfer RNA is filed under the name Eropterus sp. UPOL A00549. Its description in RNAcentral is "tRNA-Phe". Lineage: Eukaryota; Metazoa; Arthropoda; Insecta; Coleoptera; Lycidae. The record is from RNAcentral.